CCACAAUGAUUAGUGCUUUCUCAUGAUGAAAAUCAUGCUUCUCUUGUCGCACAAAAGAAAGCUCUUUUAUGGUAUGGCAUCCAAGAUGUUGGAUGAGGUCAAACCUCAUCUUGAUAAGGAAUCAAGUUCCAAUCAAAUUUGAACUUUCCUUUUCUAUCUUUGGCAUUGACAAAGGGAGGCAUCAUCUAUCUUUAGCAUGAAAUAUUUCACGCAAAAAACUAAGAGGCACGUGAAGAGAAAAGGGGUGGCCUUAUGGCAUGGC
This 262-nucleotide long non-coding RNA is filed under the name Elaeis guineensis (African oil palm). Its description in RNAcentral is "long non-coding RNA (EGUI_LNC046815)". Lineage: Eukaryota; Viridiplantae; Streptophyta; Magnoliopsida; Arecales; Arecaceae. The record is from RNAcentral.